ACCUCUAAUAAGAAAUAUCAUCUACCUCAGAUAAGCAUAAUCAAGUUCAGUUGACAAGUCACAGUUUUGCAUGCCUUGGACAGGAAUCUUACCUCCAAUUGCCCAUAUCCCUGCCUAGUGCCUAGAAUAACCAUCAAUUAUCAAUAUUAAGAGUCUAUUUUUUGCUCUUCUUUUGAUUUAUAGAUAUUAUCUUCUCUUAACCAAAUGGUUCGUAUCCUGGCUUAAUACUUUAUUCCAAACUGAUUGAGAGUCUGAUCUGCAUCAUUCCCACAAGAGAAAACAAAUGACAAAAGCCUUAUGUUUUAUCAUAUAUCUGACAAUUCAAAUGUUUUCUGCACAACUUCCAUCAACUCAAGUCAGCUAAAGACAUCAACUCUAGUGAACCGUUUUAACUUCUUGGUGUUUGCCGAAGUUACGGAAUGGAUCAAUAAGUCGACGGUGAAGCACUGAAGCUCCUGCUGUCGUGAAAUUGAUAUUGAUCAUGGACUAGCUUAUGGCCUCAUGAAGAUAUAUCAGAAUUAUGCAGAUCUUGCCGAUGAAAUUUGCUUCAAUUCUGCUGAUCAGCUUUUAUAAUGUUAACCGAAUUAGAAACCACUGUUUUGAUGGGUUGAUGUCAUGCAUUGUACAUUGCAGUUUUUAUUUGACACCAGCCUUCUUCUUUGGCUGCUCUUGGAACAAUUGAUGUCUUCUAAGACCUGUAAUUUCUUUGUUCUUUUUCAUUGACAAUGGUGACUUCAUGAAUUGGUUAA
This is a long non-coding RNA of Tripterygium wilfordii, 749 nucleotides long. RefSeq lists it as uncharacterized. Lineage: Eukaryota; Viridiplantae; Streptophyta; Magnoliopsida; Celastrales; Celastraceae. The transcript is spliced from 2 exons. The record is from RefSeq and is a predicted model, not a curated record.